Molecule: ribosomal RNA, 460 nt
Filed under: uncultured bacterium
Lineage: Bacteria
Description: partial 16S ribosomal RNA
Rfam family: Bacterial small subunit ribosomal RNA
Source: RNAcentral
CCUACGGGAGGCAGCAGUGAGGAAUAUUGGUCAAUGGACGAGAGUCUGAACCAGCCAAGUAGCGUGAAGGAUGACUGCCCCAUGGGUUGUAAACUUCUUUUAUAUGGGAAUAAAAUGAUCCACGAGAGGGAUUUUGAAUGUACCUUAUGAAUAAGGAUCGGCUAACUCCGUGCCAGCAGCCGCGGUAAUACGGAGGAUCCGAGCGUUAUCCGGAUUUAUUGGGUUUAAAGGGAGCGUAGGUGGAAUGUUAAGUCAGUUGUGAAAGUUUGCGGCUCAACCGUAAAAUUGCAGUUGAAACUGGCAGUCUUGAGUACAGUAGAGGUAGGCGGAAUGCGUGGUGUAGCGGUGAAAUGCGUAGAUAUCGCGAAGAACUCCGAUUGCGAAGGCAGUUCACUGGACUGCAACUGACGCUGAGGCUCGAAAGUGUGGGUAUCGAACAGGAUUAGAUACCCCAGUAGUC